GAUAUACUCCAUCCGUCGAACAAAAGAUGUCUCAAUUUUGAUUAAAUUUGAAUGCAUUUAUACACUAAGUGAUGUUUAGAUACAUCCAAAUUUUAACUAAAUUGAGACAUUUUUUGUUGGACGGAGGGAGUACAAG
This is a non-coding RNA of Brachypodium distachyon (stiff brome), 136 nucleotides long. NCBI's taxonomy places the organism in Eukaryota, Viridiplantae, Streptophyta, Magnoliopsida, Poales, Poaceae. The record is from Rfam.